This 685-nucleotide ribosomal RNA is filed under the name Heteronyx sp. BMNH 671323. Its description in RNAcentral is "eukaryotic LSU rRNA". It matches the Rfam family "Eukaryotic large subunit ribosomal RNA", at positions 644 to 1286 of the family's 3401-position model. Lineage: Eukaryota; Metazoa; Arthropoda; Insecta; Coleoptera; Scarabaeidae. The record is from RNAcentral.
GGGACCCGUCUUGAAACACGGACCAAGGAGUCUAGCAUGUGCGCGAGUCAUUGGGACUCUAACUAAACCUAAAGGCGGAAUGAAAGUGAAGGUCCGCCUAGCGCGGACCGAGGGAGGAUGGAUUGUUCCACGGGACAGUCUCGCACUCCCGGGGCGUCUCGUUCUCAUCGCGAGAAGAGGCGCACCCAGAGCGUACACGCUGGGACCCGAAAGAUGGUGAACUAUGCCUGGUCAGGACGAAGUCAGGGGAAACCCUGAUGGAGGUCCGUAGCGAUUCUGACGUGCAAAUCGAUCGUCGGAACUGGGUAUAGGGGCGAAAGACUAAUCGAACCAUCUAGUAGCUGGUUCCCUCCGAAGUUUCCCUCAGGAUAGCUGGCGCUCGCUUCUCGCGAGUCUCAUUCGGUAAAGCGAAUGAUUAGAGGCAUUGGGGUCGAAACGGCCUCAACCUAUUCUCAAACUUUAAAUGGGUGAGAUCUCCGGCUUGCUUGAACUGUGAAGCCGCGAGAUAUCGGAUCAGAGUGCCAAGUGGGCCACUUUUGGUAAGCAGAACUGGCGCUGUGGGAUGAACCAAACGCAGAGUUAAAGCGCCUAAAUCGACGCUUAUGGGAUACCAUGAAAGGCGUUGGUAACUUAAGACAGCAGGACGGUGGCCAUGGAAGUCGGAAUCCGCUAAGGAGUGUGUAAA